This 390-nucleotide ribosomal RNA is filed under the name uncultured bacterium. RNAcentral describes it as "bacterial SSU rRNA". It matches the Rfam family "Bacterial small subunit ribosomal RNA", at positions 29 to 410 of the family's 1533-position model. The record is from RNAcentral.
AACGAACGCUGGCGGCGUGCUUAACACAUGCAAGUCGAGCGAGAAAGGGAGCUUCGGCACCUGAGUAAAGCGGCGCACGGGUGAGUAACACGUGGGUAACCUGCCUUUCAGUGGGGGAUAACAGCCCGAAAGGGCUGCUAAUACCGCAUUCGUCCACACGGUCACAUGUCUGUGUGGAGAAAGAGGCGCAAGUCUCGCUGGAAGAUGGGCCCGCGGUCCAUUAGCUAGUUGGUGGGGUAAAGGCCUACCAAGGCUUCGAUGGAUAGCUGGUCUGAGAGGAUGAUCAGCCACACUGGAACUGAGACACGGUCCAGACUCCUACGGGAGGCAGCAGUGGGGAAUAUUGCGCAAUGGGCGAAAGCCUGACGCAGCAACGCCGCGUGUGUGAUG